GCGGUGUAAAAUGAGCUUGCGUCCUAUUAGCUAGUUGGUGAGGUAAUGGCUCACCAAGGCUACGAUGGGUAGGGGUUCUUAGUGGAAGGUCCCCCACACUGGCACUGAGAUACGGGCCAGACUCCUACGGGAGGCAGCAGUAGGGAAUAUUGGUCAAUGGGCGCAAGCCUGAACCAGCCAUGCCGCGUGCAGGAUGAAGGCUCUCUGAGUUGUAAACUGCUUUUGUACAGGAGCAAAAAAAUCCCUGCGGGGGUUCUUGAGAGUACUGUAAGAAUAAGCACCGGCUAAUUCCGUGCCAGCAGCCGCGGUAAUACGGGAGGUGCAAGCGUUAUCCGGUUUUAUUGGGUUUAAAGGGUGCGUAGGCGGCUUAUUAAGUCAGUUGUGAAAUCCUAGUGCUUAACGCUAGAACUGCGAUUGAUACUAUUAGGCUUGAGUUAAAGGAGAGGU
RNAcentral lists this ribosomal RNA (447 nucleotides) under Cardinium endosymbiont of Bemisia tabaci. RNAcentral's name for it is "bacterial SSU rRNA". It matches the Rfam family "Bacterial small subunit ribosomal RNA", at positions 215 to 659 of the family's 1533-position model. The record is from RNAcentral. Lineage: Bacteria; Pseudomonadati; Bacteroidota; Cytophagia; Cytophagales; Amoebophilaceae.